GCUAAAACAGUCAGGAGGUUGGCUUAGAAGCAGCCACCCUUUAAAGAAAGCGUAAUAGCUCACUGAUCGAGUCGUCCUGCGCGGAAGAUGUAACGGGGCUAAGCUAUAUACCGAAGCUGCGGAUGCGUGCUUUGCACGCAUGGUAGGAGAGCGUUCCGUAAGCCUGCGAAGGUGCCUUGUAAAGGGUGCUGGAGGUAUCGGAAGUGCGAAUGCUGACAUGAGUAGCGAUAAAGGGGGUGAAAGGCCCCCUCGCCGUAAGCCCAAGGUUUCCUACGCAACGUUCAUCGGCGUAGGGUGAGUCGGCCCCUAAGGCGAGGCAGAAAUGCGUAGCUGAUGGGAAGCAGGUCAAUAUUCCUGCACCAUUGUUAGAUGCGAUGGGGGGACGGAUCGCGGAAGGUUGUCCGGGUGUUGGAAGUCCCGGUCGCUGCAUUGGAGAAGGCACUUAGGCAAAUCCGGGUGCGUAAUUCAAGGGUGUGGCGCGAGCUCCUUCGGGAGCGAAGCAAUUGGAAGUGGUUCCAAGAAAAGCCUCUAAGCUUCAGUCUAACGAUGACCGUACCGCAAACCGACACAGGUGGGCGAGAUGAGUAUU
This 589-nucleotide ribosomal RNA is filed under the name Burkholderia vietnamiensis. RNAcentral describes it as "partial 23S ribosomal RNA". It matches the Rfam family "Bacterial large subunit ribosomal RNA", at positions 1083 to 1680 of the family's 2925-position model. Lineage: Bacteria; Pseudomonadati; Pseudomonadota; Betaproteobacteria; Burkholderiales; Burkholderiaceae. The record is from RNAcentral.